Mustela erminea (ermine) is the source of this 435-nucleotide long non-coding RNA. RefSeq lists it as uncharacterized. NCBI's taxonomy places the organism in Eukaryota, Metazoa, Chordata, Mammalia, Carnivora, Mustelidae. The transcript is spliced from 3 exons. The record is from RefSeq and is a predicted model, not a curated record.
UCUGAUGCAGCUUGUUACCACGGGCAACAGCUCUGAUUCAGCAUGGGUCUGUGCUGUCUACCGAGGCACCAUGUUGGACAAGGCAUGUAUGGGAAUAAAGACUGGUGGAAUGAGAUAGAGCCAGCUUAAAAAGGAGCUGAACAGAGAAAAUAUAUUGGACUGCCAUGGAGCUGAACUAAACAGGUAGCUGUGAGAAGAGGAAAUGAGAACCAUGAAACUCACUGUGAUACCAUCAGUCUCGCCAACCAACUGUCCGUCCAUUCACAUUUCUGGCUGGAGUUACAUGGCAGGGGAUUAUAUAUGCUAUGACUUGUUCGUAAAAAUAAAGCAAGAAGAGUGAGGACCCCACCAAGCCCAUGCCUAAGCCUACACUCUACAGAGACCCUGACCCGACAGAAAACUGUUCUGAGUGUCAGCAAAACCUUGCAGGAAGGU